AUGCCGUCCACAUGCGAUGCAUGUAUCUGGUUGUUAUGGAAUGUGUGAAACUAUGGAGGUUCCAACUUUAUCUCCACCCUACAAAGAACCAUUGCAUUCUACAUGUAAUUACGAUGAAUUCGAGUUUCAGACAGAACAACUGCCAGACUGCGAUCCUGGCGUAGACCCUACGUAUAUCUACAUAAACGCUGUUUCUUGUGUGUGUAGUGUGCCCUCUUACGAUACGACCAGUUACUACUUUCGUUACUUUCUUCCUCAUAAUGACAAGCGAUAACAAUCGGAGAUCGACCCUGAAUUAAAGAUAUGUAGAUGUAUUUUUGUUUAUUUCGUCACAUCUGAAAGCAGGGAAAUAAGCUGCCAGUGCGUCCCAUGACGUGGCUCAUUCAUGGGUAAUACGUCACCACUAAACACGAAUUCGUCGUCGGUGGAAUUAUGAGGUCUGCGGAGUGAUAAGAAUAAAGAACAUGAAUAACUAUUCUGCGUGAUGUAAAAUAUGUUUUCUGUACUUUUCAGCAAUUAAUGGAGCUUUUUGUGUAUAUUAAAAUCAUAUAUAAACACUUAAACAUAGUGUUUGCAAAAAACGUACGUUCAAACUAUUCCAUGUGGUUUAUAUAUACUUUGGACUAUUAAAGUCGAUGUCGAAGCUAUGUUUACAUGUACAUUUUUAAAACGAGUAGAUCGUAUGGAAGAAGUGCCAAUGAACUUAUAGGGACACUGAGACUGUUGUGUUAUUUAUUAUAUUUCUAUUUAUUUUAAACAUUUUUAGAGGGUACUGCGCAUGUGAUGAUAUCCAAAGUACAAGUAGUUACGAACAUAGCUGUUCAUAAAGACAAACACCGAAUGCGAAUUCAUUUGAAUAAAAUAUUAUUGCAGCAAUGUU
Molecule: unclassified non-coding RNA, 880 nt
Organism: Saccoglossus kowalevskii
Lineage: Eukaryota; Metazoa; Hemichordata; Enteropneusta; Harrimaniidae
Source: RefSeq, a predicted model, not a curated record